Long non-coding RNA from Helianthus annuus (common sunflower), 3420 nucleotides. RefSeq lists it as uncharacterized. The transcript is spliced from 10 exons. NCBI's taxonomy places the organism in Eukaryota, Viridiplantae, Streptophyta, Magnoliopsida, Asterales, Asteraceae. The record is from RefSeq and is a predicted model, not a curated record.
UUCCUGGUCGAUUGAUUUUGAGCGGCAAUUCUUCUACUAUCUUUUCCCUCACACGCUAUUCUUUCAUCCGCUCCGCUUCAAACCCUAAUAGUCAUCUACCCUAUGGCGAUUUUUCAGAAAACCUAAAUCUCAUCCCGUCGCUUUUGAACAUCGAAUUAGGGUUUUUGACGAAUACUUUCUUCUCCGCCGACGGUGCAUAUCUUCAAAAUAAUCUUCAAAUCAAGGUUUCUGUCACUCGAUUCCUGAUUACCAACCCUAUUUCUCAACCGUAAUAGACAUUGGUGUUUUCAACGUUGGCGAUUUCAUCAGACGAUUUUAUUUACAUCGGUCUUAUCUUGAUCCUGGUUUGAGAUUAAAGGCCUACAAUGAAUAACCGUACGACAAAAACUCAACAACUGCAAGAAUAAAUAGAUCAAGUUUGAUGCUGCUCAUGGUACUACCAUUUGUAAGAAGCUACGCAUUCUCGAUUAUGUUUUUGUAGCAUAUUGCUUUGCGUAAAUUAUUAGAUGGUGUUUUACUCAGAAGGUUCAAAUGACGAUUACCUUUUCAAGAUUGUCUUGCUUGGUGACUCGGGUGUUGGAAAGUCAAACUUGCUUGCUAGAUUUGCUAGAAACGAGUUUUACUCAAAUUCAAAGUCAACCAUAGGAGUAGAAUUUCAGACCCAGAAAAUGGAAGUUAAUGGGAAGGAAAUUAAGGCGCAAAUAUGGGAUACGGCUGGUCAAGAACGUUUUAGAGCAGUUACAUCGGCGUAUUAUCGAGGGGCUGUUGGGGCUCUUGUGGUUUAUGAUGUCAGCAGACACCAGACGUUUGGUAGCGUUGGCAGGUGGCUUAAUGAACUUCACAGUGAGUAUUGUCAUGUCCUUUUUUUAGGUCAAAGAAUUAUGCAUUUUAACUUUUUUGGUCACACAAGUCAACCAGUUUAAGAAAAUACUGUCUUUAGUUUUGGUCAACCAGUUUUGGUCUAAUUUCUGUUUAGGGUAACGAUCAUUUCGUUUUGCCAUGAAAAAGGCCUAUAAAUAAGUAUUCAAUCUACUACUUCUAAUAAAGCAAAAUAAUCUUAAGCCACAUGUCACUAACUUAAGCCAAUCAUUGCCACGUUGCAAUGUGAUAUUCCUGCUCGAUUGAUUUCGGCUGAAUCAAAUGAUUGGACUCAGUGAAGCCAGUAAAUGCGCGAAAAUUGCCAAGGUUUUUUUACGUCUUCUGACUCAUACCAUUUUAUGAUGGAUUCAUGAGUUUUUUUUUAAUCGGAACACUUUCUUGGAUAUUUGAGGAUGCUUACAGAUCGACAUUUCAACACUGAGCAUUAUUGUGCUUGACGAUAUUCAAAGAACUUGCAGGUGUUUUGACAGAAUGAUAUACAUGCAAGGAUGUAGGUACCUGCUGUAUUUCCGAUUGCAGUUCAAGCAACAAGGUCAGUUUUCUUCUGUCUUUUGGUUUACAUGAUUCUCCUAUCUUUAUGCUUUCAUUAUAUUUAAUUUGUAAAAGAGAAACAAGAGAGAGAUGGAUGGUACGUUAAUCCAGAUAUGUUAAUCUGUUUUUUUUUUUGUGUUUUCGAAGCAUAUUCUUGAUUUAUCUUUGCAUAAAUUUGAUUUGGGGUUUAGGGUUUCAUUGAUGGUUCUUUGUUGACUAUUGGAGAUCUCUCUUUGUUUCACAAUGACAAUGGUGGUUCAUUUAGACACCAUAUGAUUGACGGCGUUAGGUUCUGGCGAUAUACAAAGGUUUCGUAUUCUUCAUAUACCCAUGUUUGAUUUGACGAUAUGUAUUCAAAAACUUUAUAGGGUUUUUAUUUAAUCACGGCAUCCGAUAAUGGAAGUUGAAAUCGGCAUGUCGGUACCCGGUGAUUCGAUCAUAAAAAGGCCUAAACACGAUCAGCCUAAUCAACUUGCCUCAAAAAGAGCUAUGUGAAUUGCCAGCCUAAUCAACGAGCCUCGAAAAAAGCAAUCUGAAUUGCCAGCCUAAUCCAACGACGGAACAAUAUUGAACGACAAUGUUAUUCAAAAGAGUUCAUUUAGUCAAAGGUUAGCUGACAUUACCUAAGAAAUUGAAAAAUGAGAUGGGAUAUUUGGCUGGAAUUUGGAGAAAGUGAUCAGAAUAAGCUAUUAAGUCCAAAUUAAUCUUUUAAUCAGGUGGUUUUGGUGGUUCUGUAAUCACGAGCAACAAAGUUAUCCCGCUUCCAUUUAUACCCGUAUGGAGAUAUUGUCAUUGCUAUCGGUGAUUGGUAUAUUCAAGAUCAUAAGGAUUUAAACUGCUCUGUCAACCGCAACAUCCAAUCUUAGAAACCGAGAAGUCAGAAAACAAACACACGGGUAUCUUCUUAGGCGUAAUAUCCAUUUCAAGGGAAUCGAAAGUUAUCUCAUUGACAUGUACUCGAAAUCUGGUCUGAUACGAGUGGCUCAAAAUCUAUUUGAAAGAAGUUGCGCAAACGAUAGAGAUCAGGCGACAUGGAAUGCGAUGAUUGCCGGGAACUGCACAACGGGUUAAUCGAUCAAACGUUUAGCGUUUUCUGGCAGAUGAUUGAUCAUGAUGUUUGCAUUUUCUCAGGAAAAAAAAAACGCUAUAACAUACACGAAUAUGAUAUUAGGUUACGGGCAACACGGGAUGGGUGAAAAAGCUCUUGAUCUAUUUAACACCAUCAAACGACAUACGACCCGAUUCUGUAACGUUAGUUGCGGUUCUAUGUGCCUGCAGUUAUUCCGGGCUGGUGGAUGACGGUCUAAAGUUAUUUGAAUCAAUCGAGGCAGAGUAUAACAUCGUUCUGUCACUGGAGCAUUACUGUUGCGUUUUAGAUAUGUUAGGGAGAGUUGGUAGGGUGUCGGAAGCUUACGAUUUUGUUGAAAGAUUGGGGGAAAAAGGUAAUUAUUUGAAAGUUUAGGGUUUGCUUUUGGGCUCUUGCAGAACCCAUGAGAAUUUUGAUUGGCGAAAGUUGUUGCGAGUAAGUUGGUUGAAAUGGGUCUGGUAAAUAAGAAUCGGGUUAUCAUGCGUUGUUGUCAAAUAUAUAUGCGGAUGAAGGAAAUUGGGAGUUUGUUGAUAGAUUACGCAAAGAGAUGUAUGAAAAGGGAAUAGUGAAGGAAACGGGGUGCAAUUGGAUUGAUAAUGAUGGGCGUUCAGAUUAUUUUAUGUCGAGAGACAAAAAUUACGCUCACGGUGAUGACAUGAAGAAGCAAUGGUGAAGGAAACAAACUCAGAUAAAUCCAAGGCUUAAAUGAGGCACGAUAAUAUGUAUUUGGUAUAAAUUGCAUGCGUGACGAUGCCAGAACUGCAAGCUCCGAUAUGUGUAUGGGAGCAAAGAACUCCACCACUCAAUCCUACCGGUGAUUACUUUGUAGCAAAGAGUAUUUGUCAAUUAGCAUGUGUACCGAAUAAAUUACUUUUUGUAUGAUUUAGUUAUGUGUUAAUCAUAAAUAGCUUUACUAUGAUUUA